This 253-nucleotide ribosomal RNA is filed under the name uncultured bacterium. RNAcentral's name for it is "partial 16S ribosomal RNA". It matches the Rfam family "Bacterial small subunit ribosomal RNA", at positions 524 to 776 of the family's 1533-position model. The record is from RNAcentral.
UACGUAGGUGGCGAACGUUGUCCGGAUUUACUGGGCGUAAAGCGCACGUAGGCGGCUUUGUAAGUUAGAGGUGAAAGCCCAGGGCUUAACCCUGGAAUUGCCUUUAAGACUGCAUCGCUAGAAUCGUGGAGAGGUAAGUGGAAUUCCGAGUGUAGAGGUGAAAUUCGUAGAUAUUCGGAAGAACACCAGUGGCGAAGGCGACUUACUGGACACGUAUUGACGCUGAGGUGCGAAAGCGUGGGGAGCAAACAGG